AUUGAACGCUGGCGGCAUGCUUUACACAUGCAAGUCGAACGGUAACAGGGUGCUUGCACCGCUGACGAGUGGCGAACGGGUGAGUAAUGCGUCGGAACGUGCCGAGUAGUGGGGGAUAACGCAGCGAAAGUUGUGCUAAUACCGCAUACGUACUGAGGUAGAAAGUGGGGGACCUUCGGGCCUCACGCUAUUCGAGCGACCGACGUCUGAUUAGCUAGUAGGUGAGGUAAAGGCUCACCUAGGCGACGAUCAGUAGCGGGUCUGAGAGGAUGAUCCGCCACACUGGGACUGAGACACGGCCCAGACUCCUACGGGAGUCAGCAGUGGGGAAUUUUGGACAAUGGGCGAAAGCCUGAUCCAGCCACGCCGCGUGUCUGAAGAAGGCCUUCGGGUUGUAAAGGACUUUUGUCGGGGAGGAAAUCCCCAGCGUUAAUACCGCUGGGGGAUGACAGUACCUGAAGAAUAAGCACCGGCUAACUACGUGCCAGCCGCCGCCGUAA
RNAcentral lists this ribosomal RNA (500 nucleotides) under uncultured bacterium. Its description in RNAcentral is "partial 16S ribosomal RNA". It matches the Rfam family "Bacterial small subunit ribosomal RNA", at positions 30 to 523 of the family's 1533-position model. The record is from RNAcentral.